Molecule: ribosomal RNA, 426 nt
Filed under: uncultured bacterium
Lineage: Bacteria
Description: bacterial SSU rRNA
Rfam family: Bacterial small subunit ribosomal RNA
Source: RNAcentral
UGGGGAAUAUUGGACAAUGGGCGCAAGCCUGAUCCAGCCAUGCCGCGUGAGUGAUGAAGGCCUUAGGGUUGUAAAGCUCUUUCGGCCGGGACGAAAUCGCGCGGGCGAAUAUCCCGCGUGGAUGACGGUACCGGAAGAAGAAGCACCGGCUAACUACGUGCCAGCAGCCGCGGUAAUACGUAGGGUGCGAGCGUUAAUCGGAAUUACUGGGCGUAAAGCGUGCGCAGGCGGUUUUGUAAGCCAGAUGUGAAAUCCCCGGGCUUAACCUGGGAACUGCAUUUGGGACUGCAAGGCUUGAGUACGGCAGAGGGGGGUAGAAUUCCUGGUGUAGCAGUGAAAUGCGUAGAUAUCAGGAGGAAUACCGAUGGCGAAGGCAGCCCCCUGGGUCGAUACUGACGCUCAUGCACGAAAGCGUGGGGAGCAAAC